Acanthosepion pharaonis is the source of this 114-nucleotide non-coding RNA. The record is from the annotation of a GenBank genome assembly. Lineage: Eukaryota; Metazoa; Mollusca; Cephalopoda; Sepiida; Sepiidae.
UUACGGCCAUAUCACACUGAAACACCAGUUCUCGCACGAUCUCCGAAGUUAAGCAAAGUUGAGCCAGAACAGUACCUAGAUAGGUGACCGCUUGUGAAUACCAGGUGCUGUAAG